CGCACCUUGCGCUCCUUGGUAUUCCGAGGAGCAUGCCUGUUUGAGUGUCAUUAAAUUCUCAACCAUUCCAGUUUUUCUGACUAGAAUGGCUUGGAUCAUGGGAGUUGCGGGCUUCAUAUGAGGUCGGCUUUCCUUAAACGUAUUAGCGAGGCUCUUGUUGCAACCUCUGGUGUGAUAAUUAUCUACGCCGUUGAGAUGUAACGCUACAGAGCACGGCUUCUAACCGUCUCUCAAAGACAACACUUGACAAUCUGACCUCAAAUCAGGUAGGACUACCCGCUGAACUUAA
RNAcentral lists this unclassified non-coding RNA (289 nucleotides) under Clitopilus sp. Its description in RNAcentral is "partial contains 5.8S ribosomal RNA, internal transcribed spacer 2, and large subunit ribosomal RNA". The record is from RNAcentral. Lineage: Eukaryota; Fungi; Basidiomycota; Agaricomycetes; Agaricales; Entolomataceae.